ACCGCUGCAGCUUCGUUAAAUUGAUGCGGUUCCUAGUGCGUAAUUAAGCCCCGCUCCAAUUGUUCUGACCUGAGGCGGUUUUGGGCAUUCACCGCAUCAAAUAACCCUGGGGGAAGAGGGUUUUGGUUUCCCUAAGAUACUCAAUGAAAAUUUCUCAGUAACCAUAACACUUCAGUCUUUGUCAGUUCCAGCUUGCACGUCCGCUUCAUCGUUCUUCCCGGUCACCGGUCUCCUCCCUCAGCUGUGUAGCUCCCGUGCGCGAAGGUAAAGUGGAAGGGGUCCGAGUCUUCUCCUUCUGCCGUGCAUGUCCGUGAUGUCGUCGGCGUCCUCCCCAGCCAUCCGUCCCUGUGUCAUCGUCGGCAGCCUUCUCCUCUUGCCCUGUUGUGCGUUGCCGAUCACAAGAGAGUCCCCUCUCAGUCGUAUAUUCCCCUCCAUUCUCCCAAUUUAAUUUUGGUGGCUGUUGGUAAAUUAAUCUUGCAUCUGAUCCUUGUGACUUCUGAUUUAAUUUGUCCCCAAUUUAAUUUUGGUGGCUGUUGGCCAAAUUUUUCUUCCCCACUUUAACAUUCAGAUUCAAUUUGUCCCCAAUUACUGAACCCCACUCUUGAUAUGUUUGUGUUUACUGCUUCAGCUCAUUUCACUAAAAACCCAAAUGUUUCCCAUCUCAGUUUUAAUAAGAAAAAAGAGAAUAUGGGGGGAUGUUGUAGGGUUUAAUGUCCAAACCCAUCACUUUCAAGUGAGUGUGUUUCUGAUCUAACCAAUUUUUUCUUCUUUAAUCUCCUGAAGCUUACAGUUCUAAUCCUGCUUAUGGAUAUUUAUUUUUUAGGAAAAUUUCUAUUAUGAUGCUUUGAUCUAUUGAUUAAUUAAUUUGUUCACUAAUCACUGGUUGAUAUUUUAGAUUUUGAUUUCUCAGUUUAUCUGUCUAGGCAUAUAGCUGUAUAGUAAACCAAUAGCAAUACGUUGUUGGUAUGGGUUUAGUUGAUUCGUACUGUGUUUUCAACAGGAUCCACCUGAAGACGCAGUUGUGCCAAUGUGUGGCCAUGUCUUCUGUUAUCAAUGUGUAUCAGAUUACUUGAAUGGUGAUGAUAAUACAUGCCCUGCUCGUGGUUGUAAAGCAGCACUUGCAGAAGAUGUUGUUUUCUCCAAAGCUACUUUGAGGAGUUGCUUGUCUGAUGAACUUGGUGGUAGUAAUUCCAUAAAAGCGCAUGAUUUUGAAUAAUUGGAUAGUGCAGCAGAAUGAGUACAGUUGGACUAGCAUGUUGGACUUAGUUGAGGCAUCAUUGCAACAAUCCUGUAUGAAAUAUAGGAGACUUGAUGGGCGGAUGUCUCUGAUUGCUAGGGACAGAUCUGUUAAAGAUUUCAAUACUGAUCCUGAGGUAACUGUUAUGCUGAUGUCACUAAAAGCAGGAAAUCUUGGUUUGAAUAUGGUUGCUGCAUGCCAUGUUAUUCUUUUGGAUCUGUGGUGGAAUCCAACGACUGAAGAUCAAGCUAUUGAUCGAGUUCAUAGAAUUGGAUAGACUCGUCCUGUUACUGUGACAUGGCUUACUGUAAAAGAUACAGUUGAAGACAGAAUACUGGCUCUUCAGGUAAUGAUAUCUGUCUAUUUAUUUUCAUUUCAUGUGUUAAAACACAGGCAUACAUUUGGAAUAAUUGGAUUUAUCGGCAAGAAGUUCAGUUGACUCUGGAGCCCACUCUGCUACAAAUUAACUUCAUAGACUUGAUUAGCGUACUAACAUGAAGCAGUACAAAUUUGCAAAAUUUUAUGAUGUGGUAAGAUUCCUGUUAUGCUUAUUUAACAUGCAAGGAUUGUUGUUGAGCUUUAUGAAUUUUGCUUGUAUUAAGAAUGAGCAUUAGCUUUUUGGCUGCCAUUUGGGAAAUAAAAAUAUAUCUAUUUAUUUUGGUUAUCAAUUUCAAAGAUUCCAGUUGUGAUGUCUGCUGAUGAUGUCUGCUUCCCUGGGCUUUACUGUUUUAGUAUGCUUAUAUGGGAAAAAUAUAACGCAUCACCCCUGCCGACUUCAAUUUCUCCUGGAUUUAGCUUGGAUGGGAAAAAUAUUCUUGCUGGUAACAUUAAGCGCAAUCUUGUUUUGGACCUGCCCUUCAGGAAUGGAGUGAUAUGUUACACCUUUUUCUAACUUGUUCAACUAUAUGCAGUUUCUAGCAGUCCUAUAGAUAUUCCACAGCAUGGAACCCUUGUUGAGAAGGAGAAAGAAACUGGUAAUAGUGAAUGGAGUUGGUUAGAUGUAUCAAAUCCCAUAUUCAAAUGCUCAGAUAAGGUUUUGGUUAAUUUUUCUUUUGUAAUAAUUUUUAUGGAUAAAUUAUUUUGUGAAAGAAAUACCCUAUAUGCUAAAAGAGUAUCACUGGGAUCUGCUACAGGUUACAUCUUUGCUGUCCUAAAUUUAGGGAUAAGUUAGUAUAAUGUCUUUUCUACCAUAGUACUAUAACAAUUGUUUCUUAAUGCCAAUUCUAGAGCCGUUACAACACAUGGCAAUAGCAACAAAUAUGAUCCAUGUCAAUUAAAGGUAAGAGACCAAUGAUUGCAAGAAGCAACGUGAUAUAUUAAUAUAGAGCCAAAGGUCAAGUGUUGGUAAGCUUCACUUAAAUGCUCACUGAUCAUGCAUUACAUGACAAACUGCUUAUAUAUUACUAUACAAACUUAUAAACAAGCCUUUCCUUCAUGUCUUGGUCUUCCAAUGUGAUUACCAAACUAGCAACCUGAGCUCUAUUCACCGAGAGACAAGAAAAAGCAAGAAAAGCAAAGGAAAUUAAACAGGGUUAGUCGCUUUAAAAAAGGCGUAAGAUAUAAAUAUAAAUUACUUGGGUUCAAUAUAUCAAGCUAAAUUAAAAUGCUUGAAGGCUUCAUCAAGCUCACAUUUAUCAAGCUCACAUUGAUAAAUUACUUGGCACAUGGCAUUUGUAAUGUUUAAUUGUUUAUGAGGUUUUUAUGCUUUGGUUGCAGAAUGAUUUGCUUCAGCUCUUUCAGCCUUUGAGUCAUAACAAAGCUUGUGAUGUUGGGUGCAAAAAAUCAGCUUUCCUUUUUAAAUUCAUGCCUCAAAAUGAGACUUUUGGUGUUCCUUCAGAAAUUUAAGGGUGCUUUAUUUUAUCUUUCUUUUUGUUAAUCUGCUACUUAUUUCAGGCUCUUGUCCAAAUGCAAGAUGUUGCUUCAGCCAUUAAUGCUUUACAAUUUUAUGCAAAUGUUCAGCCAACCAUAAGGGGGAGGAAUGUUUAUGUCCAGUUUUCCUCGUAUCAAGAACUAACAUCAAUGGAUCAAAAUCAAGGGCGUGGAGAUGAGGUUGGCAUUUUAGAGUUUUCAUGUUUGAGUUAAAAGUUAUUACUGAAAGUUCAUGGUGUCAAUUGAUAAUUGAUCCAUGUAACGACUCAUAUAUGGUAGUAUAUAUUUUGAUAAAUAGACUUAUGAAUAAGUUAUCUGUGCUUGGAUACAUGGUUACAUUAGUGCUUGUUUUGAGUGUUUUAAAAUAUGCUUCUUAAGAAGCUAGAUAAUUUAUUGUGCAGUGGAAUGUAGCUUCUGUUUCUAUAUAUUAUGUAUAAGCAAUUGCCCUGUAUAAUUAUUAAUU
Arachis duranensis is the source of this 3569-nucleotide long non-coding RNA. RefSeq lists it as uncharacterized. The record is from RefSeq and is a predicted model, not a curated record. NCBI's taxonomy places the organism in Eukaryota, Viridiplantae, Streptophyta, Magnoliopsida, Fabales, Fabaceae. The transcript has 3 exons.